ACACUUGUAGUUUAAAGGCAAAAUAACAGACUCCAAAUCUGUAAGAUCAAGGUUCAAAUCCUUGCAAGUGUG
RNAcentral lists this transfer RNA (72 nucleotides) under Caudoviricetes sp. RNAcentral describes it as "tRNA-Trp". It matches the Rfam family "tRNA". Rfam says of the family: Transfer RNA (tRNA) molecules are approximately 80 nucleotides in length. Their secondary structure includes four short double-helical elements and three loops (D, anti-codon, and T loops). Lineage: Duplodnaviria; Heunggongvirae; Uroviricota; Caudoviricetes. The record is from RNAcentral.